AGUGAACGCUGGCGGUAGGCCUAACACAUGCAAGUCGAACGGCAGCACAGUAAGAGCUUGCUCUUACGGGUGGCGAGUGGCGGACGGGUGAGGAAUACAUCGGAAUCUACUUUUUCGUGGGGGAUAACGUAGGGAAACUUACGCUAAUACCGCAUACGACCUACGGGUGAAAGCAGGGGAUCUUCGGACCUUGCGCGAUUGAAUGAGCCGAUGUCGGAUUAGCUAGUUGGCGGGGUAAAGGCCCACCAAGGCGACGAUCCGUAGCUGGUCUGAGAGGAUGAUCAGCCACACUGGAACUGAGACACGGUCCAGGCUCCUACGGGAGGCAGCAGUGGGGAAUAUUGGACAAUGGGCGCAAGCAUGAUCCAGCCAUACCGCGUGGGUUAAGAAGGCCUUCGGGUUGUAAAGCCCUUUUGUUGGGAAAGAAAAGCAGCAGGUUAAUACCCCGCUGUUCUGACGGUACCCAAAGAAUAAGCACCGGCUAACUUCGUG
RNAcentral lists this ribosomal RNA (492 nucleotides) under uncultured bacterium. RNAcentral's name for it is "partial 16S ribosomal RNA". It matches the Rfam family "Bacterial small subunit ribosomal RNA", at positions 29 to 507 of the family's 1533-position model. The record is from RNAcentral.